RNAcentral lists this ribosomal RNA (1062 nucleotides) under Escherichia coli. RNAcentral's name for it is "bacterial LSU rRNA". It matches the Rfam family "Bacterial large subunit ribosomal RNA", at positions 149 to 1251 of the family's 2925-position model. The record is from RNAcentral. Lineage: Bacteria; Pseudomonadati; Pseudomonadota; Gammaproteobacteria; Enterobacterales; Enterobacteriaceae.
UAUCAUUAACUGAAUCCAUAGGUUAAUGAGGCGAACCGGGGGAACUGAAACAUCUAAGUACCCCGAGGAAAAGAAAUCAACCGAGAUUCCCCCAGUAGCGGCGAGCGAACGGGGAGCAGCCCAGAGCCUGAAUCAGUGUGUGUGUUAGUGGAAGCGUCUGGAAAGGCGCGCGAUACAGGGUGACAGCCCCGUACACAAAAAUGCACAUACUGUGAGCUCGAUGAGUAGGGCGGGACACGUGGUAUCCUGUCUGAAUAUGGGGGGACCAUCCUCCAAGGCUAAAUACUCCUGACUGACCGAUAGUGAACCAGUACCGUGAGGGAAAGGCGAAAAGAACCCCGGCGAGGGGAGUGAAAAAGAACCUGAAACCGUGUACGUACAAGCAGUGGGAGCACGCUUAGGCGUGUGACUGCGUACCUUUUGUAUAAUGGGUCAGCGACUUAUAUUCUGUAGCAAGGUUAACCGAAUAGGGGAGCCGAAGGGAAACCGAGUCUUAACUGGGCGUUAAGUUGCAGGGUAUAGACCCGAAACCCGGUGAUCUAGCCAUGGGCAGGUUGAAGGUUGGGUAACACUAACUGGAGGACCGAACCGACUAAUGUUGAAAAAUUAGCGGAUGACUUGUGGCUGGGGGUGAAAGGCCAAUCAAACCGGGAGAUAGCUGGUUCUCCCCGAAAGCUAUUUAGGUAGCGCCUCGUGAACUCAUCUCCGGGGGUAGAGCACUGUUUCGGCAAGGGGGUCAUCCCGACUUACCAACCCGAUGCAAACUGCGAAUACCGGAGAAUGUUAUCACGGGAGACACACGGCGGGUGCUAACGUCCGUCGUGAAGAGGGAAACAACCCAGACCGCCAGCUAAGGUCCCAAAGUCAUGGUUAAGUGGGAAACGAUGUGGGAAGGCCCAGACAGCCAGGAUGUUGGCUUAGAAGCAGCCAUCAUUUAAAGAAAGCGUAAUAGCUCACUGGUCGAGUCGGCCUGCGCGGAAGAUGUAACGGGGCUAAACCAUGCACCGAAGCUGCGGCAGCGACACUAUGUGUUGUUGGGUAGGGGAGCGUUCUGUAAGCCUG